UUUUUUUUUUUUCCUUUAAAAACACAGACAUUGAUUUUUUUUUUCCUCUCUCUCUGAAAUUGUCUCAACUUGUGUUCCUGUCAGAAUUCCUGACAUACUAGAUCAUAAAGAUUACAGCAAGGCAUCUUUUAUAUCUGUGUGUGUGUGUGUGUGUGUGUGUGUGUGUGUGUGUGUUUUCUCCAUAUAUUUAACCUUGGGUUACAUGUGUAAUUUUUCAAACAUUCCCUUAUAAUCAGUUUUGUUGUCUGUACUUGUUGGCUGUGAAGGCCUCUGGAAAAGUUGUUUAAAACACAGGACUCAGGGGUUUCUUGAUACAUAUCCUUUUCACCCAAAUGAAUCUCUGGAUAAAAGUUAUUUUUAAAACUGUUUAAAAAUUAAGUGACCUAAAGCAAAUCUUAUGUUCUUUUUGAACCUUAUGUUAAAAGUAGGAAUGUAUAUCUGCUAAUGGCCAGGAUUUCAGAAUAUCCAGAAAUAUCCAAGCAGUGUUCCGUAGGUCAUUGACUAGAGACAUUCAUGGUAUCCUCCAUAGAGUUUCUGAGGCUGCUUGAUUUUGCACAUUCCAGAUUGUCACCAAAGUCUAAAAAGAAUUAGUAUGACUGGACUAUAUUUGCAUUUAGAGUGUUAGCAACCCUCCAGAGUAUACACACUGGGCUAUUUAUGAAGCAACUUCAGCUGACAGCUGAAGAUCAGAAGAUUCUAUUUUGGGAAGUGUCCUAAAUGUGAGGUUCUGUGGUGAAAAAAUUUAGUGCCCUACAGAUAAGAAUACUUCAAACAGGAAGCAGUGGUAAUUUAUUGCUUCCUGUGUAAGUAUUCUUAUCACUAUGAUAAGCUUUAGGUUUCAGUUCUGUUUUCCUGAUCCCAAGAUUUCUUUUCUUGUAAUCAGCACCUAUAAGAGGAUUAAAAAUGAAAAAGAAGAAGAAGAAGAAGAAGACAAUGACAGCAAAUGUAGGGGGAUGGGUAGAGAAUUUACUAGCAUGAUUUUUCCUAUCUGGAGAAGACUCUUAUAUUUCCUACCACUCAAAAGUAUUUGGUAGGCUAAGAGAAAAACUGUUUACUACUGUUGGCUCAUUUACUUGGCUCCAUCUGUUAUGUGUGUGCAUAUGGCAUCAAUUCCAUGUUAGUGUAAUGCAAGGCUGGGUUGACUAUUGCUCAUGGAAGGUCGAAUAAUGCACAUGACUAUUGUACAUGAUAGAACCAGCAUGGAUAAGAAAAGAGGAGAUGGGAAUUUUAUUCCUGAUUCUGACAUUCCCUGGGAUCUACCAUUCUUUGACCUGGUUUUCUGGCUCAGAAAAUGAGAGGUAGUACUGUUUCCCCAGUCUGUCUAAUAGUGUUGUUCCAAGGAGCAAGUGUGGGAAUAUAUGGAAGUGCAGUUAUAAACUGUGAAUUUCGGGAUCCCUGGGUGGCGCAGCGGUUUGGCGCCUGUCUUUGGCCCAGGGCGCGAUCCUGGAGACCCGGGAUCGAAUCCCACAUCGGGCUCCCGGUGCAUGGAGCCUGCUUCUCCCUCUGCCUGUGUCUCUGCCUCUCUCUCUCUCUCUCUGUGACUAUCAUAAAUAAAUAAAAAUUAAAAAAAAAAUAAACUGUGAAUUUCAUCUUGAGCCUGAAGCUUAGAGUGGUUUCACUCAAUUCCGACCACUCCCCUUUCGGCCUUAGAAAAUAAGGGUGCUUUUGGUUCAUGUUCUUUCCUUAUUAAAAAUAUUUUUCAAAUUCAGUCAGCUUCCUAGAUUUCUUGGCUGGACGACUAUAUCGUGAUUGAGUGCCUGAAGAGAAAGAUGCAUCAACAUUGACUCUCUAUUUCAGAUAUGUGUUUCGUGAAUUAGGAGUGUGUCCUACUGUUAAAUUCAAGGGAACUGGGUUGCGUUUAUUAGCUUGGCAUAGAAAAAUCAAAGUUCUACACAUGGGCUAAAUUAUUUUAUAAGCUGUAAGUAUAAAUCAGGAUUAAAGACUGAAAUGUAUUUAUUAAAUUUUAAAAGGAAGUACGCACAUGCAUUUUAUAGUUCCUAUGGAUUUAAUUAUAUACUAAAUGCAGAAAAUAAAAGUAUUACUGGGUAGCACUGAAUGUUUUCUUCCAAAAUUUUUGUUGAAAAGUGUCUUUACUCUUAAGUCUGUGCCCUCUUUGUUAAAUCAUAACAUCUCUUAGUUUACUCUUGCUCUUACAAAGUGACUUUGGUAGUGUUGCCUGCGUUGUGAUUUUAAAGGGUACCAUGUUUCUAUGUGAAUAUUCAGCUGUGAGCUCAUUCUUGGUCCUGACUUGGCAUUUGUCAAGGUCACAGCUUUAUGGCAAGGAUGAUAAUAGGGUGUAUGCAUGGCUUGUAGAGGAGUUCCCAGUUGGGUCCACUUGUCUGUGCUCAAGUGUGUGAUAUUAGCCAGCUAUCCAAAACAAUUAUUUCAGUGGCUCGCUAGGCUCAUUUGUGUUCCAGAAUUAUUUCAGAGCACUGGCUCCUUGCUCAAGGAAAAAAAAAAAUAGAGAUAAGAUGAGAAGAACAAACGGGGGUGGGUUGGAGGAGGAGUAAAAUUCAUAUGACAGUUUAGUAGAUAGCCAUUGAUGAUAGCUAAUUAAUGAUUUGUAAUUACCCAGGGGUCAGAAGUUAGACUAUUAGUUAUUUUGCUAUUUUGCUUUCCAGGUGGAAUGGAUUAUGUGAACCUUAGAUGAAUCUUUGAAUUUAUUAUGAAAAAUAUUAGGCCUACAUGUGGCCUUAAAAAUGGUAACACUUAAAACAUUCAUUCUGUAGAUAAAUAAAUUCAGGUCCAGAGAAGUUAAGCAAAUUGCUCAAGAUGAUACAGCUGUCUUACGGUAGAAUCAGCAAAGAAUCCUAAUAUCUCUUCAGCUUGAUGUUUUUCCCCCUACGCUAUACUGCGUAAAGAUGUUUAUUCAUAAAUGCUUUGUCAAUUUUAUAUUUUUGUAUAAAGUGUUUUUCAUGUUACAUACAUAUAUAUGUGUACAGAGAGUAUGUGUGUAGAUUUAAUUGUUUAUUUAUUUGUUCCUCAAAUAGUUAAAUGAUGCCAGGCACUGUUUUGGGUGCUAGGAGUAUAGCUAGGAAUAAGAGUCAGUGUCUGCCCUCAUGGAGUGUAUAUUCGAGCGAGACUGACAAUAAACAGACACAUUUAUUUCAGAUAGUGGUUUAGUUUUUGCUUUUGAAGUAGUUUUGAAAAAUUGUAUUGGACAAGAAGCAUCCGGAUUUUCAAAGAUAUGUUUGGAAAAAGAAUUGUAAAUUUAUGAGAAUAAUUAAAGGAUUUAAAAGAUUGCUUGUUAAAUGCAGCUUCCUCUUUUAUAUGCAGAGUGUUUGAUUAUUAGCCCUCCAUGAAAAUAAUUUAUAAGCACUGGUAAUUAACUGCCUGUAUCCAUGACUUAGUCAACCCUAUCCAUAAAGUUUUAAAAAUGUAUUUAUGACUACUAGGACUUUAUUAGUGCUCUUUUUUCAAACCUCCUGUUUCCUUUCUGAGGGUGGAAGUCCUUGCCUGCUCUGCUCAUGUAGAAGAGCAGAUAGGAGAGCCCUGAAAAUGAGGAUGCUGUUUUAUAUAACUUGGAAGGCCAUACCUUAAGUAAUAGUAAGGCAAUCAAUGAAUGAUAUGUCUUAACGAAGACAAAUAUCUGCUUGUUAUCAGUGAAUAGCCCUAGUUCAUUCUGAAAAGUUGGAAGAAUCUUAUUUCAUUGGUUUAUGACUUAUUUUUAUAUGUACCUGUUUUCCUGCAGUCAUAGAUAAAAAGUUUUCUGAAAAUAAUGACAUAGGAAGGCUUCCCUACUAUCUCCCUGUAGCAAAGAUCCCUUUGCUAAACUACUUUGAUGUUGUAAUAAUAGGUUGAUAAGCUAUUACUUUUAAAAUGGAAGUUAAGUCUUGAGCCUCCUGUGAAACUCUCAGGAAGCCUAACAUGGCAUGUCCUACAUUCUAGGUCAUCCAUCCAUAAACUGGGUGGCUGGAAGGACAGGCCUAGAAAUGGCUUUCUGGUCCCAUGAGGUUCUGGGGGCCUGUAUUGUUUGAUGUGGCGUUUGGACCUUCUGAAGAUCUUCUGGGCAGCUUGGCUUGAGCUUCCUUUUCUUUUUGGUUACUGAUCACUUGAACCUGGACUGUCCUGAUCUCAGUGCCCAUGUCUUGCAUGGCCAGUGUCCAUUCUUGGCUGGGCAAGAGCUGCCAUCCUAAUUGUCUUGUUUCAUUGUUUGUUCACGACUCUUCUGAGUAUGCUCAGGUGAUUGCAAUCUUUGGCAUGUCUUCUGUGUGUGCUUUAAGAGCAUACUUGUGGCCACAGAGCAAUUUGGUGAUAGCGAUCGUGUUGAAUUAGAAUUCUAGGAUCAGUUUCUAGGUUCUGAUCGUCUUUAUACUUGCAUGAACAAUUUUGAAAUAUAUUGCAUACAGAAUGUGAGUGGUCCCAUCAUGCAAACAAGUGUUACGACAUUGUUGGAAAAUAGGUUAUGGAUAGGUGCAUCUAUCCUGCCUCAGUCAGUUCUGGUAACUUUAAAGAAGAAUCAGAAUUUUGGUGAAUUUCUGAAGCCAUCCAUAUUGAUCUGAUAACAGCCAAAGCCCAGUUUCAAAUGGAUUUUAAGGUCAGCAAAUAUAGAGGAGUACUCAAGGCAAUCUUACCUAUCAGCUCUUGACAUACUCUGUAAUACACAAACACCUAAAUCUUUGAUUAGCCCUUUGGCUUUGGUUUGGUUUGGUUUAUUUUCAUCUUAUCAGUGGUUAUUUGCUUAUUAUAUUCAUAUUAUUUCAUAAAAUAUAUUUGUAUCAAUGCAACAAACAUAUGCCCAUUCAUUCAUUUCAUAGGUGUUUCUUUGGUCAGCACCUACUGUGAACCCAGCUACUUUUUUUUGAAGAUGAAGAGUCUAGAAAAUUAGGCAGAGUUAGGUUUUUAUCAUCACGGAAUAUAAUAUUAUCCUAGUGGAAGUGACAAAUGACAAGUAACAAAAGUGUCUGAUUGCGGGGAGUAACAACUACCGGGACAAUUAAGUAAUAUAAAGUGAUGGAGAAGAAGGGGUAGGCUGGGCUCUUUCUGAGAAGGGUAGUCAAAAAGGAAGAGUUUGAGCAAACAUCUUUGUGAAGGAGAAGACCCUGUAAGGAUGUGCUGGUGAAGGGUGUUCUUAGGAGCAGCGGACACAGUCCUACAAAGGGACUACAAAGGCAUAUGUGGAACAAUAGAGAGAGGGGUAGCAGAUGCAAUUGGAGUAGUAGGUUAGGGCUGGACCUUGGAGAGCUUGAGAGGUCAUGCUGAGUCGUUUUCAUGGAUUCAUUCUAAGUGAGAUGGGAAGCCCAGUUAGAAGGUUAGCUCAUGUGCCGGGACCACCCUGCAGGCCUACCGGGGUUUACCCCGGAGAGACAUGGAAUUCUUCUGUAUAAUCGCUUCCUCCCCACAUCUUCACUUUUGAUUGAAGCCAGUCACCUACCUGGGGCCUCUUGUAUGAACUAAAGCCACCUCUGACCCAGAUUUUCAGAUUCAUUCCUAGCAUCACUCAGGCAGGCAUAUUUUAGGGAUACCUCAAGGAGAUUUCAUCUUUAGUCUUGCCAUGGCAACACCUUGCCCAAGCCGCUGGGAUGCUCGUGGACCAAACCAGGCCCUUCGGAUAUUGUGACUACAACUCAGUCCUCAUUCCAGGACCGUCUGGAUGCUUGGCCACCCACCUAAUGAUUGUUGACACAUCCUUGCAAGACAUGCCUACUCUGGUUUCUUUCCAGACAGAUCACGAUUAUUCUAUAAAGAAUGGCAAGGGCCCAGCCUUCUGGGGUAGGAUCCUUGGUUUAAGCCUCCAACAAGGAUUCUAGCUGUAAACAAUAGCACCCAGUUUUUUAUCUAUCUAGAUUUGGUCGUUUUGUUUUGGAAUCCACAUCACCUGACAUGACCUGUUUGCAUAUUGGCCCUGUUAGUGUUCACACUUAUUUCAGCCCUCUUUUUAUCUUAAGUGGUUUUUAGGUUAUGAGAUCCAAAUUUAGACUUGGUGAUAACACUUGGCUUCCAGUGGACUGGCACUGAGUGGAAGUCUGUAUGUUUUAGGAAGUACAGUAUUAGUUCAUUUUAAUCCUUUAAUCUUCCCGUAUGCCAGAUACUUGUCUGCUCUAACACCUACAUUUAGAGCAUUUUUUCUGUGACAUUUAAAAGCUAUACUGGAAACAUAUGGCACCAAUCAGGUAGAGUGAGUUAGCUUUGACUUUUAUUGCUUUUUUCGUUUUUUAACUGGUUUUUACCUACUUCCUGGAAAAUGUUGGCAGAGUUCACUUUUAAUGAUGUUUUUGAUAUGCCAUUUGCUUUUAGGUGUUAAUUCUGUGAUCAUUCUUGUUUUGAGCUACUCUGGACAGCUGGCUCUGGUGGUUUCAUGGGGACACGCUCGUGGGUUGAUGAUACCCUAAAUAUGUGCACAGCAGGGGGAGAGUGAUCUUCAUUAUCUGAGGUCCUGCAAUUGUGAGGAUUUAGUAGGGAAGUAGGUGCUAUAACCAUAUUCACUAAUGAACUAACCACUUCUAUAAUCUCUCCUUGCUUAUUAUCUUUCGAUACUUACUACUAGGGACUGCUCCUCCCUCCAUUUCAUUCAACAUUGAAAAAUGUACAUUUUGCAAAAGAUGCAGGAUUUCAUAAAUCCGGUGAACAUGAUGUUGAAGAAUUGCUGGGAUUCCCAAGUAGCCCAUGCCUAGUAUAGAUCUAGCAGAUGAAGAUGAGUCAACUGUUGAAGAAACAAAUCAAAAACGAUGACUCCUGAGGCUGCUGGGUGGCUCAGUUGGUUGAGUGGCCACCUCCUGAUUUCAGCUCAGGUCAUGAUCUCAGUCUCAGGGUUGUGAGAUCGAGCCCUGCCUCAGGCUCCCUGCGCAGCUCAGAGUCUGCUUGAGAUUCUCUCCCUCUCCCUCUGCCCUUCCCCCUACUCAUGUGCGCAUUAUCUCAAACAAAUCUUUUUUUUCUUAAGAUUUUAUUUAUUCAUCCAUGAGAUACAGAGAGAGAGAGAGAGAGAGAGAGAGGCAGAGGGAGAAGCAGGCUCCAUGCAGGGAGCCGGACGUGAAACUCGAUCCCGGGUCUCCAGGAUCAGGCCCUGGGCUGAAGGUGGCGCUAACCCGCUGAGGCACCCGGGCUGCCCCACAAAUCUUAAGAAAAAAAAA
This 7070-nucleotide long non-coding RNA is filed under the name Canis lupus familiaris (dog). RNAcentral's name for it is "lncRNA (ENSCAFG00000057067.1, ENSCAFG00845015121.1)". The record is from RNAcentral. Lineage: Eukaryota; Metazoa; Chordata; Mammalia; Carnivora; Canidae.